UUCGGGAUUGAUCCCGGAUGCUGGAACCCUCAAGGCUCACGGAGAAGAAACUGUGAAGAUACCAUUGACUUUGAUCUAUGAUGACAUCAAGAGCACUUACAACGAUAUCAACCCCGGGAUGAUCAUACCUUACAGGAUCAAGGUUGAUCUUAUUGUGGACGUGCCAGUAUUGGGAAGACUGACAUUGCCGCUGGAGAAAUGUGGAGAGAUCCCAAUUCCAAAGAAACCCGACGUUGAUAUCGAGAAGAUUAAGUUCCAGAAGUUCUCUUUGGAAGAAACCGUGGCGAUCCUCCACGUGAGGCUUGAGAACUUGAAUGAUUUCGACUUGGGGCUCAAUGACUUGGACUGUGAAGUUUGG
RNAcentral lists this long non-coding RNA (358 nucleotides) under Arabidopsis lyrata. RNAcentral describes it as "long non-coding RNA (ALYR_LNC002186)". The record is from RNAcentral. Lineage: Eukaryota; Viridiplantae; Streptophyta; Magnoliopsida; Brassicales; Brassicaceae.